CUUCCUACGGGAGGCAGCAGUAGGGAAUCUUCCACAAUGGACGAAAGUCUGAUGGAGCAACGCCGCGUGAGUGAAGAAGGGUUUCGGCUCGUAAAGCUCUGUUGGUAGUGAAGAAAGAUAGAGGUAGUAACUGGCCUUUAUUUGACGGUAAUUACUUAGAAAGUCACGGCUAAUUACGUGCCAGCAGCCGCGGUAAUACGUAGGUGGCAAGCGUUGUCCGGAUUUAUUGGGCGUAAAGCGAGUGCAGGCGGGUCCAUAGGUCUGAUGUGAAAACCUUCCG
RNAcentral lists this ribosomal RNA (280 nucleotides) under uncultured bacterium. Its description in RNAcentral is "partial 16S ribosomal RNA". It matches the Rfam family "Bacterial small subunit ribosomal RNA", at positions 335 to 607 of the family's 1533-position model. The record is from RNAcentral.